AGAACGAACGCUGGCGGCAGGCUUAACACAUGCAAGUCGAGCGCCCCGCAAGGGGAGCGGCAGACGGGUGAGUAACGCGUGGGAAUCUACCCAAUCCUUCGGAAUAGCUCCGGGAAACUGGAAUUAAUACCGAGUACGCCCUACGGGGGAAAGAUUUAUCGGGGUUGGAUGAGCCCGCGUUGGAUUAGCUAGUUGGUGGGGUAAUGGCCUACCAAGGCGACGAUCCAUAGCUGGUCUGAGAGGAUGAUCAGCCACACUGGGACUGAGACACGGCCCAGACUCCUACGGGAGGCAGCAGUGGGGAAUAUUGGACAAUGGGCGCAAGCCUGAUCCAGCCAUGCCGCGUGAGUGAUGAAGGCCCUAGGGUUGUAAAGCUCUUUCAGUGGGAAGAUAAUGACGGUACCCACAGAAGAAGCCCCGGCUAACUCGUGCCAGCAGCCGC
This 442-nucleotide ribosomal RNA is filed under the name uncultured soil bacterium. RNAcentral describes it as "bacterial SSU rRNA". It matches the Rfam family "Bacterial small subunit ribosomal RNA", at positions 26 to 518 of the family's 1533-position model. The record is from RNAcentral.